This 684-nucleotide ribosomal RNA is filed under the name uncultured Sphingomonadaceae bacterium. RNAcentral describes it as "bacterial SSU rRNA". It matches the Rfam family "Bacterial small subunit ribosomal RNA", at positions 548 to 1213 of the family's 1533-position model. Lineage: Bacteria; Pseudomonadati; Pseudomonadota; Alphaproteobacteria; Sphingomonadales; Sphingomonadaceae. The record is from RNAcentral.
GAAUUACUGGGCGUAAAGCGCACGUAGGCGGCCAUUCAAGUCAGAGGUGAAAGCCCGGGGCUCAACCCCGAGAACUGCCUCUGAAACUAGAUGGCUUGAAUCUUGGAGAGGCGAGUGGAAUUCCGAGUGUAGAGGUGAAAGUCGGUAGAGUAUACGGAAGAACAACCAGGUGGCGAAAGCGAGGUCGCUGGAACGGAGUAUUGACGCUGAUGUGUCGACAGCGGUGGGGAGCAAACGAGGAUUAGAUACCCUGGUAGUCCACGCGCGUAAACGAUGAUAACUAGCUGUCCGGGUUCAUUGGAACUUGGGUGGCGCAGCUAACGCAUUAAGUUAUCCGCCUGGGGAGUACGGUCGCAAGAUUAAAACUCAAAGGAAUUGACGGGGGCCUGCACAAGCGUUGGAGCAUGUGGUUUAAUUCGAAUAAACGGUGCAGUCCUUUUACGAGCGUUUUGACAGGGCUAGUAUGAUUUCCAGAGAUGGAUUUCUUCAGUUCGGCUGGCUAGAACACAGGUGCUGCAUGGCUGUCGUCAGCUCGUUUCGUGAAAUGUUGGGUUAAGUCCCGCAACGAGCGCAACCUUCGUCUUUAGUUGCCAUCAUUCAGUUGGGCACUCUAAAGAAACCGCCGGUGAUAAGCCGGAGGAAGGUGGGGAUGACGUCAAGUCCUCAUGGCCCUUACACGCUGGG